RNAcentral lists this non-coding RNA (117 nucleotides) under Streptomyces vietnamensis. Its description in RNAcentral is "SAM-IV sequence". It matches the Rfam family "SAM (S-adenosyl methionine) riboswitch aptamer". Rfam says of the family: SAM-IV is a mRNA element that regulates gene expression via direct sensing of S-adenosylmethionine (SAM or AdoMet). SAM-IV riboswitches share conserved nucleotide positions with the previously described SAM-I riboswitches sequence analysis and molecular recognition experiments suggest that SAM-I and SAM-IV riboswitches share similar ligand binding sites, but have different scaffolds. The record is from Rfam by way of RNAcentral. Lineage: Bacteria; Bacillati; Actinomycetota; Actinomycetes; Kitasatosporales; Streptomycetaceae.
GGUCAUGAGUGACAGCUGCAAGGCCCCGGCCGGCUGUCCGGCAACCCUCCGUCCGUGGCGGGGUGCCCCGGGUGAAGACCAGGCCGCACGAGCAGAAGCCUGCGGCAAGCGCGGACC